RNAcentral lists this ribosomal RNA (493 nucleotides) under uncultured bacterium. RNAcentral describes it as "bacterial SSU rRNA". It matches the Rfam family "Bacterial small subunit ribosomal RNA", at positions 64 to 524 of the family's 1533-position model. The record is from RNAcentral.
GAGCGCUCCACUCCAGAUCCCUUCGGGGUGACGGUUGUGGCUCGAGCGGCGGACGGGUGAGUAACACGUAGGGCAACCUGUCCUGUUAAGACCUGGGAUAACCCCGUGGACAACCGGAGCUAAUACCAGAUAAUCACCGACACCGCAUGGUGUCGAUGUAAAAGAUGGUUCUGCCAUCACUUACAGAUGGGCCCGCGGCGCAUAAGCUAGUUGGUGGGGUAAAGGCCUACCAAUGCGACGAUGCGUAGCCGACCUGAGAGGGUGAUCGGCCACACUGGGACUGAGACACGGCCCAUACUCCUACGGGAGGCAGCAGUAUGGAAUCUUCGGCAAUGGACGAAAGUCUGACCGAGCAACGCCGCGUGAGUGAUGAAUGUCUUCGGAUCGUAAAUCUCUGUUGUCAGAGAAGAUCUCGUGAUAGAUGAAAUGCUAUCACCUUGACGGUAUCUGACCAUAAAGCCCCGGCUAACUACGUGCCAUCAGCCGCGGUAAU